Molecule: ribosomal RNA, 450 nt
Filed under: uncultured Glomus
Lineage: Eukaryota; Fungi; Glomeromycota; Glomeromycetes; Glomerales; Glomeraceae
Description: SSU rRNA
Rfam family: Eukaryotic small subunit ribosomal RNA
Source: RNAcentral
AGCAGCCGCGGUAAUUCCAGCUCCAAUAGCGUAUAUUAAAGUUGUUGCAGUUAAAAAGCUCGUAGUUGAAUUUCGGGAUCAAUAUGUUGGUCGUGCCUCGGUACGUACUAGCUUAUUGGUUUCUCCUUUCUGAAGAACCAUGAUGUCAUUUAUUUGGUGUCGUGGGGAAUCAGGACUGUUACUUUGAAAAAAUUAGAGUGUUUAAAGCAGGCUCACGCUUGAAUACAUUAGCAUGGAAUAAUGAAAUAGGACGUUUGAUUCUAUUUUGUUGGUUUCUAGGAUCGACGUAAUGAUUAAUAGGGAUAGUUGGGGGCAUUAGUAUUCAAUUGUCAGAGGUGAAAUUCUUGGAUUUAUUGAAGACUAACUACUGCGAAAGCAUUUGCCAAGGAUGUUUUCAUUAAUCAAGAACGAAAGUUAGGGGAUCGAAGACGGUCAGAUACCGUCGUAGUC